UUUUUCAACAUGGUUGACUUGUCUUUAUACGUCGAAAAUUAUUUUGAACGUUAGAUAUAUGAAGGAUAAGAAAACCUAAUAUAUUAAAAUAGAGUCAAUUUAAAAAAUAUGCUGUACAAGUUUAGAUCUGACCCAAAAAACUUCGUUCUCUCUCUAGUUUUCACCAUCUUCUCUGUAAAAGAGUUUUCAAAAAAAAAAAAGUUUGAGGUAAGGGGCUGGUGGUUUCACCACCGCCGGUCACCCUUUUUUCUUUUGUUUUUGUUUUUUGUGUAAAUAUUUGAUCGGCUCUUCAGCUUAGUCCUAUCUUACUUCCGUCUGCGGAUUUUUUCUUUGGUAUAUCCGACUUGGAUCUUCGCAAGGCAAAGUAUUCAGAAAGUGUAGAGUCUUGAGCUUUGCAAUUAACCUUCCCGGUUCUGGAUUCAACUUAAGAAAAGCUGAAGUUUGCUUCUAGCAAAUGUUUUGGCAAUAGUUGCCUCUAAAUCGAUUGAAGGUAUUUGGAGUACUUUACAUCCAAAAGAAGAGAUUGGAGACUGAAGUAGCAGAGGUGCAAAAGAUAAUAUAGGUCUCAGAUCCAUUGAAAUGGUGUUGCCUUCUUGGAGAUAAGGAAGCAAAAGAGCGUUGAGAGAACAGAGUUUUCUUGGCGUCGGCGACCAGUCCACGGUAGACCAGUCCACGGCGUCGGCGACUACCGCUUCACGCAUGGAAGACACCUGUUAUCACGUGUUGCGAGUACUGGAAACCCCUAGGGUUUUCUAGAUCUUGUAUUGUUCUUUAAUUGGGGUUCAAUAUUAUGUUUUCUCUUAGUGGUCAUUUUCAGUGUAAUCUGAAACCUUGUAAAAGUCAAAUGAAUGAAAGUUUGUUAGACAAAAAAAAAAAA
Brassica oleracea var. oleracea is the source of this 877-nucleotide long non-coding RNA. RefSeq lists it as uncharacterized. The transcript has 2 exons. NCBI's taxonomy places the organism in Eukaryota, Viridiplantae, Streptophyta, Magnoliopsida, Brassicales, Brassicaceae. The record is from RefSeq and is a predicted model, not a curated record.